This 150-nucleotide unclassified non-coding RNA is filed under the name Microsporidia sp. RNAcentral's name for it is "partial contains small subunit ribosomal RNA, internal transcribed spacer 1, and 5.8S ribosomal RNA". The stretch from base 1 to 47 matches the Rfam family "Eukaryotic small subunit ribosomal RNA", at positions 1785 to 1831 of the family's 1831-position model. Lineage: Eukaryota; Fungi; Microsporidia. The record is from RNAcentral.
AAAGUCGUAACAAGGUUUCCGUAGGUGAACCUGCGGAAGGAUCAUUGCAAAACGUGAGUGUGAGAUAUGUAGGAAUGUGUGUGAAAUGAGUUUGACAACAAUCAUAUUUAACAAUUUUAACAACUCUCCACAAUGGAUCUCUGGGCUCUU